UAAAAGGGAGGGCCUCAAGUUUACCAUAAAUAAAAUCAACAACUAACUUCACAAAAAUAGGAAUCACAUUAACCGUUAUAAGACUUAACUUCACAAAGUUAACUAAAAGGCAUAAGGAUUGUUCAAAAUCUCUAAGAAUAACUUUAAUGAGACAAAUAUUCUUAAUAAAAGGAUCAUCGAAGGUCAAGGCGUCAUCUGCAUAUUAGAUAUGAGUGACUACGAGAAGCCUAGUUUAAAAUAUGA
This 243-nucleotide long non-coding RNA is filed under the name Lathyrus oleraceus (garden pea). Its description in RNAcentral is "Pisum sativum (pea) long non-coding RNA (PSAT_LNC011270)". The record is from RNAcentral. Lineage: Eukaryota; Viridiplantae; Streptophyta; Magnoliopsida; Fabales; Fabaceae.